CGCCGCCGCGGCUGCACCGCCCGGUUCUUCCCGUGGUCGCGGCGGCGGCGGCGGGUGGGGGAGAGCGCUGAAGUCGCUUGUACUCGCCGGGCUUGCACGUCCCGUCCCCCCCGCCCCGCCCCUCCACCCCGAUAUCUUCCCCCACCACCCCUCGGCGAGGAGUAAGUGCCACCGCUCCGCCUUCUCCUUUUCGCAAUGUUGACGCAAUCUAUAAAUAGUGGAACAAAAGGACCAACUUCCUCGCAGCUUUGCUGAAACUGCACAAAAAAGGCAACUGGGGGGGGACACACAUGAGGUUAUUUUUUGAUUUUAUUUUUCUCUGGUUAAAAGGCGAAUCCUCCUCCUCCCUUCCUCCCUCUCUCUCCUUCCCCUCCUCUCCCCCCCUCUCUACUGGAAGAUCUUUUUAAUUUUCUCUUGCUGCCUCCUAUGCUGGCAACGUCCUGCGAGUGGCUAUUUUGCUUUUGCACCGAAAGAAGAGCUUCCUCCCUCGCCCUCUCUUCUGACAUUUAUGGAUGAAAUCCACACUGAUGUCUAACCUGUAAUGAGUGCCAAUGUUUUGACCUUUCAAUAGAGAGCUGAUUUUGGAGAAUGGCUUACUCCUGUGAUUGAAAAACUCUCUGGAAGGUUGAUGGAGCAUGAGCAUGGUAUAUAUUAUAUUAACAUUUCUCUUAUUACAUAUGUUCUUUAUUUUAAAAAAUGUACACAGUAGUAUAACUUAUUCAGAGUAUUCAAAAUAGGCCCAUUCUAAUGGGAUUGUUCAAGAAUUUAUUAUUUGUUAAAAUAAUUCUUCUUUACGCUCCUGUAAAAUUAUGAAACACUAAGUAAAAGUAUUAACAGAGGCUGUGCUCAGAAGGAAAUGAAGUGGCCAAAAAUAUGUAUAAAAAACUGAAUUUGCAACAGCCUUGAUCCAUUUGAGCGAUAUAAAUUCUCUAUAUAGUAUUGUUCCCAUAUUCCUGUCUUGGGAAUUACUCCAACUGAAAUGUUGCUAAUCCAAAAACAAAGUAUGGAUGAUAUAAAAAAUUAUUUUUCAAUAACUUUAUUUUUUUUGUUGGGAGGGUGUGUUAAGAAUAGAAUAGAAUAUAGAACUAACUGAGUGUAUUUCCAUGUAGUGUGUAAAAUUUGGUUUUAAAGGCAUUAAUAAGCUAGCUACCUGACAAGCAAAGAAGCAGAAAACAGAAAAAAAGAACAGGUUUUCAGAGCCUUGCAUCUGUACCAGAAUAUUCAGAAAUUUUAUUUAUUUUAUUUGUUGGCAAACAGAUAUUAUAUAGCAAAACACUGAACAAUUUAGAGGAAUUAAUAUGGACUGUGCUACACUCAUAUUGCAAGUCCUGCUUUGCACUAAAAGUACUCAUUUGGCUGAAACUGAGAAAUCCAUUCAGAGUAAUCAUAACCUAUCUACUCAUAUACGAACAGUCUUAACUAACCAUUUACACAGACAAUUGAAAUUAAAAUAGUAACUGGUCUUGGAUUGAGUAAAUUUGUUUAAGUACAAAAUGGAAUAGUAAAAUCUGUAAGACUUUAUCUUCAGCAGAACAUAUUGCAGUACAACAAAUUUUAUGAACAUGUUGUGACUUUAGCAAUUCCAACUUUCAGCUGGAAUUCAGUUUUUAUCCUUAAUGAAGUCUGUCUGUCUUCAAGAACACUUCUUCUUUGUAGGAAGUAAUUGUACCUUAAAAUCAGAGGAGUUUUAAAAACCCAAAAUUUCAGUUUAUCCCAGUAACUCCUAAUUUCUACCAAGCAAAUCCAGUGAGGUGUAAAUUUCAUAUUUCCUCAUUGUUGUAAGUAGUGGCUGGUAGAACUGAAGAAUUACUGCAAUUUACCAGCAGUACACCUCCUGUUACAGAAAUAUUUGAGGCAGAUGGGUUCUGAAUAUAUUUUUUAUACAAUAAUAUGAUUUUAGGGUAGUUAAGGCCUCCUAGAGAAAAUUCUUAGUUGAGUAAGAAAAUUUUGAAUACAGAAAGUAUAGGAAGUAAACCUUAACUUUAUAUAAGCUUUGAAGUUUGUGAUUAGUGAGUAGGUAAUUCUUUCAGUUUUAAUAAUUUCUUUAUGUGAUUAAACACACAGUGAAAGUACUUCUAUUAAUGCUGUAACUGUGUUUGGGUAACAUGCCUAAUAUGCUCCCAAAUAAAUAAAUAUUUUGGUCUGUCCAGAAACUGCUUUGGAGGUACUACAUUGCUGUUUUUUCUUUCUUAUUUUCUUUUUUUUCCUUUUUUUUUCAUUUUUUU
Camarhynchus parvulus is the source of this 2225-nucleotide long non-coding RNA. RefSeq lists it as uncharacterized. The transcript is spliced from 3 exons. The record is from RefSeq and is a predicted model, not a curated record. Lineage: Eukaryota; Metazoa; Chordata; Aves; Passeriformes; Thraupidae.